GUGUAUUGCUUAAUAUAUUUUCUUAUUUAUCUAGCUUCAUAGGGUCGAUUUCACAUUUUCAUAUUCAUUCUGAGUUCAUCAUCAUCAUCAUCAUCAUUUGCAUGAAUAUUUUAUAUCCUAUUCAGAAGCACAAUCCAUAGUUGAUUGAGGUGCAUCAAAGCAUGAAGAUAGUUUUUGUGCCUAAUUUGUGUGUAAUUUAGCUGAAUGCCAUACGAUAUUGCUGGGUGGAAAAUUGUUUGGUGAUCUUGGUGAUGGUUUUCUUCACACCUGAGGAUCACCACAGCAGUCCUUACUGAAAUUUAGGGCUUUUAUUAUGUCUGUUAUUGAUUGUGAACCUAUAUCUUCUGUCUUGAGCUCAUAAUCACUCUGUGAACUCACCUUUCAGAUUGUUCGGACAAAAUACUUUGACAUGCCACCUUUGACUGUACCUGAAGCCGUUGAGCAGCUGGAAAAUGUUGAUCAUGACUUCUUUGGUUUUCGAAAUGAAGAAACUGGUAUGGAAGAUCUCACAUCUUUCUAUUGUCUUCAUAUUUCAUAAUUCGAUUUUGUGCUAUCUGAUGAUUGAAUUUCUUACGCCUUCGUUCCAGGUGAGAUUAAUAUUUUGUACAAAAGAAAAGCUGGUGGAUAUGGGCUUAUUAUUCCUAAAGAAAAUGGCAAAACUGAGGAAUUAGAGCCUGUGGUGGUAAAGUCAGAUAGGGAACCUUCCUUGGCAGAAUAGAAGAGACAAACAAAGGGCGAUCCUUUUGUAAGAUAACUUGAAGAAGUUAUAUUUUGAAAUCAUCUGACUCUUCUCCAUGGCAUUGUCAUAUGCUUGUGCCAGGGCAUAUAUAGACUACCUGUUUAGGGUUUCAGAUCAAGUGAAGAGAGCUUUUGAAAUGUUUGAAACAUUUUUUUGUCAAGACGAUGAUUUUUGUAAAGAUGAGAUGCACCAUCUGGUGCCCAACUUACUGAGACGAGAAGGAUCAUUAUGUAAUUACAAUGCAUUUGUGUACAAAUUACCAUCUCAGUUAUUACUCCUCUCUUUCUCUAGUAUCAUUAUAUAGUCACAGUGCAUUAUAGACAAAUCACCAUCUUAGUCAUUACUAUCCCUCUCUCUCAACUAGUGUUUUGCUCAUUGUGAAAUUUGUCAUGCAACAAUGUGUCUGUUAAGUUGUCAUUUCUAUUUUUGUAGGUUAAUUUUUUUUUUUUUGCUUUAUUUUGUCUCUAUCCUUGGUUACCAAUUGGUUGGUGCAGGGUACCAAGGGACAACCGCAUUUAUAGGAUCUAACAAAAUGAUUCAGAACAACACAAUCAUUGAUGAAAUACAGCAUAGAGCAAAAGAAGAAACCAUUUUAUUCAUCUGAUUUUGAUUACCAUAGAGUAGCAGUUUCCUUAUUACCAGAGUUCUAUAUUUUAAUUUUCAGCCAAAAGCUGGACAUAAUCGCAGCGGCUGAAUUACUUUUAGCUGUCAUUAGCAUAAGAUUCUUCGAUCAUAGUUCUCACAGAUAUGGGACUUUUCACUGCAUGCACCCCAUCAACCCAAGUCAAGCUCCCAAAAGAGUAUUCUGUGUUCACCUGGUGAAUUGAGGAAACUGUGACACUGAAGGUAACAGUUUUGAUGGUGGAGUUGAAAAUCAAAGUAUCAGGUUUUACUGUUAUGGUUAUGCCUGCUGGGGAUAUGAUAGAGGCUUUGUAUGUGGAGUUGACAGCUCCAACAUUUGUGACGUUUCUGGUGAGAGAGGUUGAAUUUUGGAGGCUUGGGAUGGUUAUGGAAGGAAGAUUCAAGUCAAGAAUAGAAUGCUCUCGAGUGGGGCAGCGUAUGGAUUGUUCUGUGAACUGAAAAAUGGCAGAGUUGUUGUAGCCCAAGGUACAGAGAUAAUGAAUAUAAUCCGCUGUACCCAUGUCAUACACUAGACCAGGAUCCGCUGCUCUAUUCGGAUUCACAAUUCCACCUCCAAAAUCAAAUGGAUCAGCAAGCUUUGUUGGAUCUCCCUCGGCAAAGAUUGGUUCUCCAGACGGAUCGGUUGUCCAUCCUGCAAUAAGAUGUUUUUAAGCAUCCAGAGACAGUGGAUGGGGGGUGUUUGUGAAGAAAUUAGCAGUUCAAUGGAAGGGACAUAUACCUGUUGUGACAAUUGCUGAUUUAAUUGCAGCUGGGGACCAAUGUGGGUGCAGGGAUUUGAGUAGUGCAACAAUGCCUGCAAUGUGAGGAGUUGCCAUGGAUGUUCCAGAAUGGAAAGCAAAUUCGGUGUUCUUUUUCAGAUCAGAAGGUAGAACUGCCCCAAGUAUUUGGGCACCUGGACCUGCUAUAUCUGGCUGUGCCAUUCAGUGCCCAACAUGGCUGUCAGUGAAAUUCUAAAAAGAGAAAAUUUCUCAAAAUCCUGACAUGGUUAUCUUAAUUAAUUAGGCAGGGCUAGCGGAGAAUACCUUCAAUACUGCUGGACUAGGGAAACUUGGCCCUCGAGAUGAGAAGUAGGCCACAUUGGUUGGCACGGGUUUCCCAACAUGUGUUUUAGAAGGGCUCAGCCUUACAUGGGGAUGCCUGCACAAGCCUCUCAACAACCAAGCUAUAUGAGGAUAAUGAUGAUGAGGAUGAUGAUAUUUUUUGUGAUAAUGUUGAUAAUGGUACCUGGUCGAACUGAUGUAGUAGAGUAUCUGGCUUCCAGUUUCGUAGCUUACUUUAAUACAUGGGAAGUCACUGAUGCAUGACGCCUGGGUGUUUCCAGAAUUCUCAGCAAUAAUUACCCCCAGGCCACGAGCUUCUUUCACGAAAGAUGCAGCAAAUUGUGUCUCAAAUGUACCUGAAGUGAAGCAGAGCGCCACUUUUCCAGCCACUGAAGUGUCAUUCGGUGACAUAUAUAGACAACUGCUGCAACAGGUGAGUGGUAGUAAAUAUAUAGAAUGGGCUACACAGACAAGUGAGUCAUUUAUUUUGACGUCUAAUAAUUUUUAUGGACUCGAUUUUAAAUGUAGGCCUUCCAAGAGGUGGGAUCCGAAGUGACAGUGCAGGACAAGGGAUCAAUAGGGCCCUAAACAGAAAUAGUGAAACACCGAGUUAGAACAGAAGGUUGCUGUCCUUGGAAGAUAUUUACCUAGGACUCUGGAGAUGUGGGUCAUCUGGGUACACUAAGCUAGCGAAGCCUGUAAGGUUUCCAAUGAGCAUGGCUUGACCCUGCAAGUAACCAAGUUGUUCAAUAAUGCAACAGAAAGAGCUGUAGGAGUGAGUGAUUAAUAUAAAUUUUAUUUUAUGUUGUUAUGCAGUGCAAAAUCCAGAUUAUGGAGAAUUACCAUGACGGUGCGGUUGUUGCCUAGUGUGAUGGGUGUAGGGAAGGACCGAUCAAUGCUGCUAGCUGCUACAGUUAAUAUCCACGGUGCUGUAUUCUCUACUGUUUGAGCACUUGGGCCUCCAUUUCCUGCUGCACAAACAACUGAAAUCCCCUGUGCCACAGCAUGGAAUGAACCAAUGAGGAUGCUAUCAGGUUUGAUAAUUUCAGUGAACGGGAUGUCGUCGGAACCGAGUGAGACUGAUAACACAUCUACUCCGUCGUGGAUGGCUUUGUCAAAAGCUUUCAGUAUAUCAGCAUCUGAGCAGAAUCCCCCCUCCAAAUUCCAGCACACUUUAUACAUGGCCAGCCGAGCCCCAGGUGCGCCACCCCUCACUGUUCCAAAACCAAGCCCAUAGUAGCUGGCAUUGACCACAGGAGAACCACCAGCAAUAGAAGAUGUAUGUGUACCAUGUCCAAGUGCGUCUCUCGGGGACAGGUAUUCUAGGUAUUCAGUGGUAUUCAAUGGCUCUCCAAUCUCUGCUUCAAGUCCCUUGAAGAAAUAACGAGCUCCAAUAAGUUUUCUGUUGCAGUGCUUUGUUGCAUUGAAGCUCUGUCCUGAGCUGCAGCCACCUUUCCAUCUAGACGGGAUUGGCCCCAGACCUUUAUCGCUGAAAACUUCUGAUUCGGGCCAUAUCCCUACUCACAAUUCAAGUGGAGGCAAUUCAGUUUUAUUCACACAUACAGACAUGCAGACACAUGCAGGGGAGAGGUAGAGAACCUGUGUCAAGAAGGCCAAUGAUGAUUCCAUCACCGUUGUUGGUUUCAUACAGGAGAUUGGUGGAAGAAUGUGAAGAGGAGAGGCCAAGGUAAUCCCAGCUCCUUGUUGUCUUCAGCUUAUGAAGGCGAGAGGACAUGACUUGAACCACACCAGGUAACUCUAAAACCAAGACAAAAAGGGAAAGACUGUAAAUACAUUAUAUGGAACAACAUAAAUUGCUUGUAAGAUGACCGAUGGGCUUUUCAUAUUAUGCCUGUUUCCAAAUACCACUAUGGACCCUUUUUACCCUUUACUUGCCUUCAGUAGAAAUGGCCCUCAGAGGACCAAAGGCAGCCACCUUGCUUACUGCUAUAUGCCUUUUGUUCAGGCUGCCAUUCUGAUGUGAAACACAAACCCUCAUUCAGUGGUGGCUGUGCAUGCAGUGGAUUCAGGCCAUUGCAUACGAUGUGUACCAUGCAUACCAUUUGAUGUCAAAGGUAUAUCAUAAACCUAGAAUCUAAAGCAUUCACCAGUAGAAUUUGUAAUCUUUGUGACAUGGAAGAUUACCUGAAACUGCUUGUGCUUGAGCUUCUGUCAACUUGGCUGCAAAUCCAGAGAAGCCAUGUCUGUAACUGUAGAUCAUGGAAUCUACAGAUGCUUCUUUGCUGCAUCAUGAGAACAUGGUGAACCAAUAGUUAUGACACUGGACUAUCUCAGUCUAGAAUUCCAAACAAAAACAUAUAGAUUUUGACUCUUUCUUUCUUCCCGGUUUACCUUCCAAGAACUGUAGUUAGCAUUUCAUGAUGAAUGUUGGUGAUGAGUUCUGGAUCAUGGUGCUGCCUCUUUCCCAAAUAAACAAUGUGGACCUGCGGGUUUCCAUGGAGAAUUUAGUGAUAUGGAAAGUGAUGAAGUUAGAACAGACAGUGAUUAGAAUGAUUCGAUUACUUACCUUGCUUUUAGGUUGUGCAGGAGAUACCGAGCUAACUUUCUCGUUUAGAAUCAAGAUGAAAGAAGCUAAGAAAAUUAGUAUGAGACUUCCAUGAUGGAGUGAACUCAUUGUGUGUGCUAAUGGAGCUUGUGGCUCAUGCUAUACAACAAGGGAGUCCAAUAACUCCUUAAAAGGUUGAAAAAGGAUGAGUGCACGGACCUCGACGGCGAAGACAUGGUACAUUUCCAGUCUUCGGAAGAUUUUUAUUAUGCACAGAGGUCACUUUCCUGGAAUUAUGUGACAGAUUUUUCCAUUGGGAGGCCCACAGGUAAUGUUUUGAUUGGUCGAGAAAUGAGAUCGAUGUUUCUAAGUGGCAGUAUAGAUCAUUGACUCAGAUGGUUCUAAGUCGUCGCAUCGGUCUCAACAUCUCAACUCGGUGUUGGUUGAUAUGCAAAAUAAGAUAAUUAAAAGAUUCAAAAAAAUUUAUAAAAAUAUUAUAAAGUAUAAUAUUAUAUACCACUAUGGUGACUUGUGAUGAUCAUCCAUAAUAUUUCUUUGUGAUUCUUUGUGACUCCCUUCUUAAGGGAGGGACCCUAUUCAAAAUCGAUUUAGUUUUCCGGCCCUUACAUUCCAUCUUCUUUUGUUUUUUUUUUUCCUUAUGAAAAUUUGAAAAAUAAAUAAAUAUAAUUAAGAAAGGUUAAAAAAAAUAAUAAAAUAAGAUUUUUCACAUUGAACAUUAUUUCAAUAAUUACAAAAUGUUGACCGAAAGUAAUUUAUGAUAAUAAAUGGAAUUAUUUUAUUUUAAAUAUAAUGAUAUUUUUAUUAAAAGACAUAUAAUUCAAUCAUCAACUUCAUUUUAAAUUUUUAUUAAAUAACAUAUUCUUAGUUAAAUUAUUUUAAUAUAUUAAUAUAAUAAUAAAUUAAAUGGUUUUUAUAUAUUAUUAAUAGUAAAUUAAUAUAAUGCUACCAUUUUUUAUAUAAAAUAAUAAAUUAUUAUCAUAUAAAAUAAUAGAUUAUAAAAUCUGUUAAUAUAAUAUUACCAAAUUAAUGCAAGUUAGACCUAUGAUAGUCAUUGAUGUGCUUCUUCCUACUCAUCAUGGGUCAUGGUUUUUGGCUGUUGAAAAGCUUUUUCCUUGAAGACAAGCUUUGAUUUGUCUAUUAUUGAUAUGUUGUGAUUUGAAAAUGAAAAAAAUAAUUUUUUUUUUUAACUCGGAUAUCUCAAUCGAGUCAACUCGAAAUUUUUUUAUUGACUCAAUCGAAUUUAAAUGAUUCUUGAGAAGUUUGAGUUUCAGAUGGUAUCGGGUGUCGGACUCGGUGUGAAAAGGCCGAGGCGGAUACGAGCACGACUUGUCCUCGACCGAUAUUUUGAACCAUGUUACGUGGCACCGACUGAAGGGGUCUUGGGGAAAAAUCUUUUGGAAAUUGAGGUGGAUUCCAUGAAACCACAUGUGAAGCUAGCCUAAGGUGCCGUCUAAAGACUACUCAUUGAUUAGCCUUUUAGGGAGAGAUUUUCCAACUGGGGAGACCCACAGGUGAUGUGGAGAUGCCUUACCCAGUAACAGAAAUUUCGGGUGUAGACCACCUUGUAACUUGUAUUAGUCUUCCAGUCCUGGGUAAGAGGAAGUUUCCUUCCAUCAGGGACUGCGACCCACUGUUGGUUAACGGAAACCACCAUCGGGUGACCGCCCUGAUGGUAGGAGAGUAAACCCUGUCCGGAUUCUGGAGACCACUCUGAAUUUCGGUUGAUAGUUCGGUCUGAAGUUUGAAUAAAUCUGAAUUUGUAUGAAAUAGGAGUAGAAAGCCAUGCAAAAGAAAGUGAAGUAAAAGAAUUUUAUGUUUUUUAAGAGACAAGACGAUUAAAACAUCUAAAAAUAAAAUUAGACGUGUAUUAAUAUGCCUUGUAAUCAUGAAGCUUAAUUUCCACAUUAAAAAUAACUAAUCUUAUGUUUUAAUUCUCAAAAGUCGCAUAUGGUUUUGAGUUCGAAUCCUGUCAUGAUACUCCGAAUUUAUCUGAGGUUUGGUCCGAAUCGAAAGUCCUAAGGGUGUGGCUAUAAAAGGUUACUCCGUUAUAAAAAAUUUAAAGAAAAAUAUUAGUACAAGGGUGAAGGACAAUAUCAUGCCAUCCAUUCCACCAUGAACAGCCCUGAAACAUCUGAGUUAAAAGGACAUAUCAUCACCAUCAUCAAUGUUUUGUUCAUAGUUCAUAUUUGAUUAAAAGCAAGUUUACAUCCACAAAUUUGAUGUUUCUGUAGACCCUCCAGCUAUGGAAUGGUGAAAUCACGUCUCACUGAUAUGGGAAUUCUUACAGCAUGCUCUCCAUCAGACCAAGUCAAGCUUCCGAAAGAGAAUCCCGUGCUCACCCGGCGAGCUAGGAAACCAUGACUCUGAAAGAAGACGAGUCUAUCAGGUUCUACUUUUAUGGCAUUUCCUGGUGGAGGGUCGAUAACAGCUUUGUACUCUGAGUCAACAGCUCCAACAUUUGUGACACUUCUGGAGAGAGAGACAGAGUACCGGCCGUUUGGGAUGGUUAUGGAAGGAAGGUUUACGUCCAGAAUGGAAGGUCGGUUGCUGGGACACGAUGUGGGUCGUCCAGUGACCUGAGAAAUGUGCUUAUGCCAGGGCAUAUAUAGACUACCUGUUUAGGGUUUUAGAUCAAGUGAAGAGAGCUUUUGAAAUGUUUGAAACAUGUUUUUUUGUCGAGAUGAUGAUUUUUGUAAAGAUGAGAUGCACCAUCUGGUGCCCAACUUACUGAGACGAGAAGGAUCAUUAUGUAAUUACUAUGCAUUUGUAUACAAAUUACCAUCUCAGUUCCCCUUCUGUUGUACUCUUCGUUCUGAUCUUCUCCCUUCUAUGGCUCGAGGCAGCUCUCAGGUAGCUUCCAACCAGCGUUCCACUAUGAAUACUUCUAAGAUUAUCGGCCCCUCGACGAUAAUGGAAGAUUCUGGCAGUCCCUAUUUUCUCCCAAUGGCGAUCAUCCAAGGAUGAUUUUGGUUUCUCAUUCUUUGACUGGGCCAAAUUUCAACACAUGGAGUCGAUCU
Molecule: long non-coding RNA, 7965 nt
Filed under: Vitis vinifera (wine grape)
Lineage: Eukaryota; Viridiplantae; Streptophyta; Magnoliopsida; Vitales; Vitaceae
Description: long non-coding RNA (VVIN_LNC005587)
Source: RNAcentral